This is a long non-coding RNA of Mirounga angustirostris (Northern elephant seal), 435 nucleotides long. RefSeq lists it as uncharacterized. The record is from RefSeq and is a predicted model, not a curated record. The transcript is spliced from 2 exons. NCBI's taxonomy places the organism in Eukaryota, Metazoa, Chordata, Mammalia, Carnivora, Phocidae.
CUGACUCCUGAGUGCUACAAUUCUGUGUCCAGCUGCCUCAGAAGGCAUCUCUACCUGGAUUCCCAAAAACAUGUCAAACUCAACAUAUCCAAAGUGAAAUUCAUCAUCUUCCUUCCCUGCUAAAAUCGCUGUCUCCUCCUGCAUCCCUAUCUCAGAGUGACACAAGACUUACUCCAGGAGAUCCCAAAGCCACUCUAGAAGUUAAUGUGUCAUCCCAAGGAAGAUCAGUCUUACCUGAGUAGCCACCGCCAAAAGCUGAAAGAGACUGAAACAAUCAGGGUCAAGCCGAGUAAAUCUACUUUGACCUUCUGAUAAGAUUUCAUUAAAAGGAAGAGGGGUUUUUUUCCCCCUAAUUUCAAGCCACUGGUCUAAAUUAAUAAUGUAAUUUUUUUCAUUUAUGUUUUUAAUAAAGUGUAUUUUGAUUUUUUAAUUUAA